UUUCUACUCCCUCCGUCCCAAAAUUCUUGUCUUGAAUUCGUCUAGGUACGGAUGUAUCUAAUGCUAAAAUGUAACUUAAUACAUCUGUAUUUAGAUAAAUUUAAGACAAGAAUUUAGGGACGGAGGGAGUACUUC
This is a non-coding RNA of Triticum aestivum (bread wheat), 135 nucleotides long. Lineage: Eukaryota; Viridiplantae; Streptophyta; Magnoliopsida; Poales; Poaceae. The record is from Rfam.